RNAcentral lists this ribosomal RNA (515 nucleotides) under uncultured bacterium. RNAcentral's name for it is "bacterial SSU rRNA". It matches the Rfam family "Bacterial small subunit ribosomal RNA", at positions 18 to 518 of the family's 1533-position model. The record is from RNAcentral.
UCUUGGUCAGGACGAACGCUGGCGGCGCGCUUAACACAUGCAAGUCGAGCGAGAACCUUCCUUCGGGAUUGGGGACAGCGGCGAACGGGUGAGUAACACGUGGGUAAUCUGCCCUUGACAUCGGGAUAGCCCGGGGAAACCCGGAUUAAUACCGAAUAGCCUCCGGAGCCUUCGGGCGCCGGAGAAAAGGUAGCUUCGGCCUCUGGUCAAGGAUGAGCCCGCGGUGGAUUGGCUUGUUGGCGGGGUAAUGGCCCACCAAGGCGACGAUCCAUAGCUGGUCUGAGAGGACGAUCAGCCACACUGGGACUGAGACACGGCCCAGACUCCUACGGGAGGCAGCAGUGGGGAAUCUUGCGCAAAUGCGGGAAACCGUGACGCAGCGAACCGCCGCGUGGGGGAAGAAGGCCUUCGGGUUGUAAACCUCUUUCAGGAGGGACGAAGCUACUCGGGUUAAUAGCCCAGAGGGUGACGGUACCUUCAGAAGAAGCCCCGGCUAACUACGUGCCAGCCGCUGC